CGCGAUGUCGGAUUAUUGGGCGUAAGAGCUCGUAGGCGGUUUGUCGCGUCUGCUGUGAAAUCUGGGAGGCGUCAACCCCCAGCCUGCAGUGGGUACGGGCAGACUAGAGUGCGGUAGGGGAGAUUGGAAUUCCUGGUGUAGCGGUGGAAUGCGCAGAUAUCAGGAGGAACACCGAUGGCGAAGGCAGAUCUCUGGGCCGUAACUGACGCUGAGGAGCGAAAGCAUGGGGAGCGAACAGGAUUAGAUACCCUGGUAGUCCAUGCCGUAAACGUUGGGAACUAGAUGUAGGGGCCAUUCCACGGUUUCUGUGUCGCAGCUAACGCAUUAAGUUCCCCGCCUGGGGAGUACGGCCGCAAGGCUAAAACUCAAAUGAAUUGACGGAGACCUGUUCGCGAUAAUAUUUUUUCCACGGGACUAGCGUGAACUACCUUCUCACUACUGCUGACCCCGCACUGUGGUGCUCCGCUGCCGCUACAACAUGUGUCCUUCAUCAUUUCUGGUUGCGCUUCUUUCUUGUUUUCUUCCCACCCCUCAUAGUCUGUAGCUUCUCACCUCCCCCGCUCAUCUCAUUUUUUCCUCCUUC
RNAcentral lists this ribosomal RNA (583 nucleotides) under Microbacteriaceae bacterium 'U1 ecto 1'. Its description in RNAcentral is "bacterial SSU rRNA". The stretch from base 1 to 406 matches the Rfam family "Bacterial small subunit ribosomal RNA", at positions 539 to 1533 of the family's 1533-position model. Lineage: Bacteria; Bacillati; Actinomycetota; Actinomycetes; Micrococcales; Microbacteriaceae. The record is from RNAcentral.